Long non-coding RNA from Pectinophora gossypiella (pink bollworm), 389 nucleotides. RefSeq lists it as uncharacterized. The transcript is spliced from 2 exons. NCBI's taxonomy places the organism in Eukaryota, Metazoa, Arthropoda, Insecta, Lepidoptera, Gelechiidae. The record is from RefSeq and is a predicted model, not a curated record.
GUAAUUAUGAGCCACCAAUAACAAAAAAGAUGUCUGUGACAUGGAUCCCUAAUAUUCUCUCAGAUGGUGACGAAUAAAAAAAGAAGAACCCAGGAGUAUAAAAAAUACUUACAUACAUACCUACCAUUGUGGUGCUGUACAUACAUACAUAGUCACACCACCAUACCAGGAUGGACUGAGCCAAGCACUACCAAGAAGACCAACUGCAGCCUCUUGUGAUGGACAUAAUGACCAGAGUGGUGACAGAUAAGCAACCCAUCACAAAUAUAAAUAUUUCUUUUUUCUGUGCAAGUUUUGAUGUUAUAAAUAAAAUACAAUCAAAAAGUAUUUGUAAAAAGUAUGUUUUAUUACUAGUUUAGUAGGGAACAGAAAUAAAAUAAAUAAACAAA